UUAAUAGAAACCAAAAAGAGGUAUUCCACUGUUAAUGGAAAAAUUGAAAUUAUUUCCUAUUAAG
Procambarus clarkii (red swamp crayfish) is the source of this 64-nucleotide non-coding RNA. The record is from the annotation of a RefSeq genome assembly. Lineage: Eukaryota; Metazoa; Arthropoda; Malacostraca; Decapoda; Cambaridae.